Molecule: ribosomal RNA, 1802 nt
Filed under: uncultured eukaryote
Lineage: Eukaryota
Description: SSU rRNA
Rfam family: Eukaryotic small subunit ribosomal RNA
Source: RNAcentral
AACCUGGUUGAUCCUGCCAGUAGUCAUAUGCUUGUCUCAAAGAUUAAGCCAUGCAUGUCUAAGUACAAGCCUCACUAAGGUGAAACCGCGAAUGGCUCAUUAAAUCACACCUAAUCUACUGGAUAGUUAACAGUUACUUGGAUAACUGCGGUAAUUCUGGAGCUAAUACAUGCACAAAGCCCCGAACUUACGUGAGGGGCGCUUUUAUUAGAUCAAAACCAAACGGCUUCGGCUGUUCUCUUGGUGACUCUGAAUAACUUUGGGCUGAUCGCAUAGCCUAGCGCUGGCGACAUAUCCUUCGAAGGUGUGCCCUAUCAACUGUCGACUGUGGCAUAGACGCCCACAGUGGUUUUGACGGGUAACGGGGAAUCAGGGUUCGAUUCCGGAGAGGGAGCCUUAAAAACGGCUACCACAUCUAAGGAAGGCAGCAGGCACGCAAAUUACCCAAUGACCGAAGGUCGAGGUAGUGACGAAAACUAACGAUACGGGACUCAUCUGAGGCCCCGUAAUCGGAAUGAGUACACUUUAAAACCGUCCCCGAGGAUCUAUUGGAGGGCAAGUCUGGUGCCAGCAGCCGCGGUAAUUCCAGCUCCAAUAGCGUAUAUUAAAGUUGUUGUGGUUAAAAAGCUCGUAGUUGGAUUUCUGUUGAGGGCGACCGGUGUACACCUCGUGUAUUAUUUGGUUCGGUCUCGGCAUCCUCUUGGGGAACGUUUCUGGACUUUAUUGGACAGGGCGAGAUUCAAGACUUUUACUUUGAGGAAAUUAGAGUGUUCACGGCAGGCAAGCGCUUUGAAUACAUUAGCAUGGAAUAAUAAUAUAGGACCUUCGUUCUAUUUUGUUGGUUUCUAGAACUUAGGUAAUGAUUAAUAGGGACAAUUGGGGGCAUUCGUAUUAACGCGUCAGAGGUGGAAUUCUUGGAUUGCGUUACGACGAACUACUGCGAAAGCAUUUGCCAAAGAUGUUUUCAUUGAUCAAGAACGAAAGUAUGGGGAUCGAAGACGCUUAGAUACCGUCGUAGUCUAUACCAUAAACUAUGCCAACUAGAGAUUGGUGGGGUUAUCCUAUGUGGCUCCAUCAGCAUCUUAUGAGAAAUCAAAGUUUUUGGGUUCCGGGGGGAGUAUGGUCGCAAGGCUGAAACUUAAAGGAAUUGACGGAAGGGCACCACCAGGAGUGGAGCCUGUGGCUUAAUUUGACUCAACACGGGAAAACUUACCAGGUCCGGACAUAGUAAGGAUUGACAGAUUGAUAGCUCUUUCUUGAUUCUAUGGGUGGUGGUGCAUGGCCGUUCUUAGUUGGUGGAGUGAUUUGUCUGGUUAAUUCCGUUAACGAACGAGACCCCAGCCUGCUAAAUAGUUUGACCCGUCUUCGACGGGCUUUAACUUCUUAGAGGGACUAUUCUGUGUAUAACGAAUGGAAGUUUGGGGCAAUAACAGGUCUGUGAUGCCCUUAGAUGUUCUGGGCCGCACACGGGCUACACUGCGAGGUUCAACAAGCUUCACAACCUGGUUCGAUAGGAUCGGGCAAUCUUUUGAACUCCUCGCGUGAUAGGGAUAGACUAUUGCAAUUGUUAGUCUUCAACGAGGAAUUCCUAGUAAACGCAAGUCAUCAGCUUGCAUUGAUUACGUCCCUGCCCUUUGUACACACCGCCCGUCGCUCCUACCGAUUGGAUGAAUCGAUGAGUCCUUUGGAGAUUACAAGUGAAGCCUUCGGGUGGAACUUGCGAUCGAAAUUGUGCAAAUCUGUUCAUCUAGAGGAAGGAGAAGUCGUAACAAGGUUUCCGUAGGUGAACCUGCAGAAGGAUC